GACGGUUUUCCCGUCUUCGGAGGCACCUGCACAGGUGCUGCAUGGCUGUCGUCAGCUCGUGUCGUGAGAUGUUGGGUUAAGUCCCGCAACGAGCGCAACCCUUAUCCCCAGUUGCCAUCAGGUAAAGCUGGGAACUCUGGGGAGACUGCCGGUGAUAAACCGGAGGAAGGCGGGGAUGACGUCAAGUCCUCAUGGCCCUUACAUCCCGGGCUACACACGUGCUACAAUGGCAGGUACAGAGGGCUGCAAAGCCGCGAGGUAGAGCGAAUCCCAGAAAACCUGUCUCAGUCCGGAUUGAAGUCUGCAACUCGACUUCAUGAAGGCGGAAUCGCUAGUAACCGCGAAUCAGCAGGUCGCGGUGAAUACGUUCCCGGGCCUU
This 379-nucleotide ribosomal RNA is filed under the name uncultured Latescibacterota bacterium. RNAcentral's name for it is "bacterial SSU rRNA". It matches the Rfam family "Bacterial small subunit ribosomal RNA", at positions 1003 to 1382 of the family's 1533-position model. Lineage: Bacteria; Pseudomonadati; Candidatus Latescibacterota. The record is from RNAcentral.